CGCCUGGGGAGUACGGCCGCAAGGUUAAAACUCAAAUGAAUUGACGGGGGCCCGCACAAGCGGUGGAGCAUGUGGUUUAAUUCGAUGCAACGCGAAGAACCUUACCUGGUCUUGACAUCCACAGAACUUUCCAGAGAUGGAUUGGUGCCUUCGGGAACUGUGAGACAGGUGCUGCAUGGCUGUCGUCAGCUCGUGUUGUGAAAUGUUGGGUUAAGUCCCGCAACGAGCGCAACCCUUAUCCUUUGUUGCCAGCGGUCCGGCCGGGAACUCAAAGGAGACUGCCAGUGAUAAACUGGAGGAAGGUGGGGAUGACGUCAAGUCAUCAUG
Molecule: ribosomal RNA, 327 nt
Filed under: Klebsiella pneumoniae
Lineage: Bacteria; Pseudomonadati; Pseudomonadota; Gammaproteobacteria; Enterobacterales; Enterobacteriaceae
Description: bacterial SSU rRNA
Rfam family: Bacterial small subunit ribosomal RNA
Source: RNAcentral